GAUGAACGCUGGCGGCGUGCUUAACACAUGCAAGUCGAACGGAAAGGCCAGUGCUUGCACUGGUGCUCGAGUGGCGAACGGGUGAGUAACACGUGAGUGAUCUGCCUUGCACUUUGGGAUAAGCCUGGGAAACUGGGUCUAAUACCGGAUAGGACCAUGCUUUAGAUGGUGUGGUGGAAAGUUUUUUCGGUGUGGGAUGAGCUUGCGGCCUAUCAGCUUGUUGGUGGGGUAAUGGCCUACCAAGGCGUCGACGGGUAGCCGGCCUGAGAGGGUGUACGGCCACAUUGGGAUUGAGAUACGGCCCAGACUCCUACGGGAGGCAGCAGUGGGGAAUAUUGCACAAUGGGCGCAAGCCUGAUGCAGCGACGCCGCGUGGGGGAUGACGGCCUUCGGGUUGUAAACUCCUUUCGCAACUGACGAAGCUUUUGUGUGACGGUAGGUUGAGAAGAAGCACCGGCUAACUACGUGCCAGCAGCCGCGGUAAUACGUAGGGUGCGAGCGUUGUCCGGAAUUACUGGGCGUAAAGAGCUCGUAGGUGGUUUGUCGCGUCGUGUGUGAAAUUCCGGGGCUUAACUUCGGGGUUGCAUACGAUACGGGCAUAACUUGAGUGCUGUAGGGGAGACUGGAAUUCCUGGUGUAGCGGUGAAAUGCGCAGAUAUCACGAGGAACACCGAUGGCGAAGGCAGGUCUCUGGGCAGUAACUGACGCUGAGGAGCGAAAGCAUGGGGAGCGAACAGG
This 738-nucleotide ribosomal RNA is filed under the name uncultured Corynebacterium sp. RNAcentral describes it as "bacterial SSU rRNA". It matches the Rfam family "Bacterial small subunit ribosomal RNA", at positions 28 to 776 of the family's 1533-position model. The record is from RNAcentral. Lineage: Bacteria; Bacillati; Actinomycetota; Actinomycetes; Mycobacteriales; Corynebacteriaceae.